CAAAUAAAUCCUUCAUCACAGCUGUUUUUAAUUCUUUAUCAGGUCACAGUAUACUGUGCCUUUGGGUUCAGUUGCUGGAGAAUUAGUUUUUCUCAUUGUGAUACCGUAUCACUGUGAUUUUUCAUAGUGCUUGGUAAAAUGUGCCCCUGCCAUUGAGUUUGAAGUAGCACACAUUUUUAUUAGUUGCUUACUUUGUUCAACACUGGCAAUUAGAAACCUUGCUUUUAUUCUCCAGAAGGUGGCACCAUAGCUCAAGUUUUCGGUUUCUCUACCUGAGCUGGCUCUGGGGCUGUGCUAGGGAGUGCCUGUGAAAAAGCUGGCAGCAGAGCGGGCAAGUGUGGGCUCAGCACCUGUGGUUGCCCACAGCCUGGCAAGGAGAUCCUCCACUGCGGGGAGCCCCCAGAGGGCCACGCAUGGACCUCCUGCUGAAAUAUGAGGCAGACAGAUGGCAGGGAGUGAGAUACUCCAGUGCCCUUUGUUCUUGUCUCCCUCUUUCCACUUCCACUAGUCAGGGAGGUUGCUCCUGAGGAAAUUGUGCUGCUGGAGAGAAAGAGGUUCCUCCAGCUGUGACCAGCCAGGCAGUCCCUUAGAGACCUCUGUGAGGGAGGUGGCUGCUGUCCCCGGCAGUGGACGCCCAGUGUGCUCCUGCUCUUUCUCUGCCUCCAAACUGGUCUCCGUCCCGCUCCCCACAGUGUGCCGGGUUCUCUGUCGGGCUGGCUGGACCUCCUGUCCACCCAGUGCUGCACCCCCAGUCUAGCUUCCCACCGCACCCACAGCGAGUGGGGCUGAGGCAGGCUCAGCAGCUCCCUUGGAUCUGCAGCCCUCUCCAAGGUCCAUCCAUUCCGUAGCGCUUAUCAGUAGAAAUCUUUUGGAUGUUCUGGUGUAAUGUACAGAGAUACUUUUGUUCAGUUAUCAGUGACCCAUUAGUUGUUCCUUUUUUUUCCCCUCUUUAAUUUAUAACUCACACUGCCAUCAUGCUGCCAUCACUUGCUCCUCUACCUUAUAUCUAUGCGUGUGAGUUGGGUAUAAUAUCAAUAAUUUAAAAUUUUCAUACCCGGAGACUGAGUGCUGGUCUUGAAAGCCUAAGUUGAAUGAAGUAAAAGGAAGAUUCCAAAUCAAACACAGUCUGUGUGUAAAGGAUUGCCCAGGGGCUGCAGUACACCCGGUGGGCUGGGAGAAUGUUCCUGGUUUUCAACAGAGGAAAUAGCCCCUUUUGAAGCUGUUCCUUUGCAUGCUGAAACAAGUAUCCUCAACGUGCUUGUGGGAUCUUAGUUCCUGGUCCAGGGAUCGAACUCGGGCCCUCGUCAGUGAAAGCGCAGAGACCUAACCAAGGACUGCCAGGCAGUUCCCUCAAGUGACAGUACAGUCAAAGGUGAUGUCGUUUCUCUAGUGCUUCAAUCAGCCUGGGAAGAGUCUGCUCGUCAUUGAUAUCCAAAAUUUCGCAGGAUGGCAAAGGUGGAAAACUCUGCAAAACCACUUCUGAAACCAGCAGUUCUGUAUUGAGUUAUUAAAAAUAAAAAGUUAGUUACACAGGAAAAAAAGUUACUCAAACAAGUUUUAACACUGUGAUAAGAUCCCCAGUCCAGUCAACAUUGUACCUUGUUGGGCUGUCAUAAUACUUCCUUAAAAAUGUGUUAUAAAGAAGAAAAAAUGAAAAAAAAGGUAUAUAAUAAAAGAAAUGUCACUUAUA
Delphinapterus leucas (beluga whale) is the source of this 1690-nucleotide non-coding RNA. The record is from RefSeq and is a predicted model, not a curated record. NCBI's taxonomy places the organism in Eukaryota, Metazoa, Chordata, Mammalia, Artiodactyla, Monodontidae.